Molecule: long non-coding RNA, 1123 nt
Filed under: Piliocolobus tephrosceles (Ugandan red Colobus)
Lineage: Eukaryota; Metazoa; Chordata; Mammalia; Primates; Cercopithecidae
Description: lncRNA (ENSPTEG00000002799.1)
Source: RNAcentral
UUUUUGAUGUUAAAUUAUAUUUUGAGCAUAAAAUUUUAUUACUUAAAAUUUAUUGAUUUUCAAUUUUAACAUUUUAUUUUUCAUUUAUAUAUUUCACGCGUUAUUAUUUUUUUCGCAUGUGUAAUUAAAAGUAAUAUAUUUUUAAAUUUUAAGUUACGUAUUAAUCUUUUGUCUUUUUUUUUUUUUUUCUUUCAUUUUUAAGAUUUAAUUUUUGUAUAAAUAUAAGCAAAAUGAAAUCAUUCAUUUGUUACGUUACUACUUUAAUUUUGUUAAUUUUUCAAACAAGAGCUAUACAGCUUAACAGCGUAAGUUCCUUCCCUAAUUCCUAUGUUGAAAUUGCUGAUAAAGUAUCCACAUCAGUUUCAACAGAAUGGAUAAACCAUUUAGAUUCAUUCAUAGAUCUUGUAUCUACAAAAAUAGUUGAUAACAUUGAAAACGAAAUAUCAAAUACUAAUAAUGAUAAAUUGACCCAUUUGGUAGCUCUUCUUGAGAAUGACGCAGACCUUUUCGAUGUUGAUUCUUACCAAAAUAAAGACUUGUCAUUUAUUGAGAACGAGUUUUUCUCAAAGCUAAAGGAAAAAUUUAAUAACAGUAAAUUCGGUCAACAUAUUAAAAAAUUGAAAGCAAAUGCUAAGGAAAAACUGAAAGAACUUUAUGCGAAACAUAAAGAUAAACUGAAAAGAUUUUUCAAAAUUAUGCUUACUACGUUAGUUAUACCAGUAGCUAUUAAAUAUAUUAAAAAACACUUGAAUCAAUGGAGGCAGAAAACCUUAGAUGCCACAAAAAAAUUAGAUCCUGAUACAAAAAAAAUCACAGUACCAGUUAUCACUGCUAUAUAUGAUAAAUUUGGAGAACAAAUCGAUAAAUAUGCUGAAAAAAAUGGUGUCAAUUUUGAAAAAGAAAAUGAAGGACUUAAAGAAUUAUUACAGGAUAAACAAGAUAUUGAAAAAAUCGAAAGACAAGAAGCCCAAUUAUUAUAUACGAAGAAGUAGGAUUUAAAAUUUAAAAAGAUUUAAUAUACACAUGAAAAAAAAAAAGAAAAAAAAAAGGUCGGUUUAUAAGUGAAAUUAUAUUAUUUUUUUUCUUUUUUCUUUUUAUAGUAUUACUCUAUUAAUUACUAUAA